Molecule: ribosomal RNA, 450 nt
Filed under: Enterococcus malodoratus
Lineage: Bacteria; Bacillati; Bacillota; Bacilli; Lactobacillales; Enterococcaceae
Description: bacterial SSU rRNA
Rfam family: Bacterial small subunit ribosomal RNA
Source: RNAcentral
CUUUUUCUUUCACCGGAGCUUGCUCCACCGAAAGAAAAGGAGUGGCGAACGGGUGAGUAACACGUGGGUAACCUGCCCAUCAGAAGGGGAUAACACUUGGAAACAGGUGCUAAUACCGUAUAACAGUAGAAACCGCAUGGUUUCUAUUUGAAAGGCGCUUUUGCGUCACUGAUGGAUGGACCCGCGGUGCAUUAGCUAGUUGGUGAGGUAACGGCUCACCAAGGCAACGAUGCAUAGCCGACCUGAGAGGGUGAUCGGCCACAUUGGGACUGAGACACGGCCCAAACUCCUACGGGAGGCAGCAGUAGGGAAUCUUCGGCAAUGGACGAAAGUCUGACCGAGCAACGCCGCGUGAGUGAAGAAGGUUUUCGGAUCGUAAAACUCUGUUGUUAGAGAAGAACAAGGAUGAGAGUAAAACGUUCAUCCCUUGACGGUAUCUAACCAGAAAGC